CUACGGAGGAUCCGAGCGUUAUCCGGAUUUAUUGGGUUUAAAGGGUGCGCAGGCGGCCAUUUAAGUCAGCGGUUAAAUCGUGGGGCUCAACCCCAUUCUGCCGUUGAUACUGGGUGGCUUGAUUGCGGUCGAGGUUGGCGGAAUUCGUUGUGUAGCGGUGAAAUGCAUAGAUAUGACGAAGAACACCGAUUGCGUAGGCAGCUGACCAGACCGCAAAUGACGCUCAUGCACGAAAGUGCGGGGAUCGAACAGGAUUAGAUACCCUGGUAGUCCGCACAGUAAACGAUGAAUACUUGUUUUCGGCGAUAUAAUGUCGGAGGCAAAGCGAAAGCGAUAAGUAUUCCACCUGGGGAGUACGCCGGCAACGGUGAAACUCAAAUGAAUUGACGGGG
RNAcentral lists this ribosomal RNA (392 nucleotides) under uncultured bacterium. Its description in RNAcentral is "partial 16S ribosomal RNA". It matches the Rfam family "Bacterial small subunit ribosomal RNA", at positions 523 to 918 of the family's 1533-position model. The record is from RNAcentral.